This is a long non-coding RNA of Astatotilapia calliptera (eastern happy), 316 nucleotides long. NCBI's taxonomy places the organism in Eukaryota, Metazoa, Chordata, Actinopteri, Cichliformes, Cichlidae. The record is from Ensembl.
CGCUCGUAAGUGGGUUACUGCCUCAGCCUGUGCUGAUGUAGGCAUUCAUUAAUUUGAAAGUGAAUCAUGUUUAUCCUUAUUUCCUUGAUGGUAAUUCUUCUUCUGUUAAUGUUUAACCAUCACUCCAGCCAUUUACUGACUAAUUUUUAAAGAUUAAAAUCACAACGUGGCUUAAUGAAGAGUAUGGAGCAGUUUCUUAUCAUUGUGCUUGUGGCAGGGGGAAUUCAUGCUCACGUUUCAGUUGAUGAGACUACAUGUGACCUCAGGACGAACACAUGCCCAUGCUCUCCUCUUCUUAAAGGAACUGUGUAUAUCC